This 1998-nucleotide long non-coding RNA is filed under the name Arachis ipaensis. RNAcentral describes it as "long non-coding RNA (AIPA_LNC000629)". Lineage: Eukaryota; Viridiplantae; Streptophyta; Magnoliopsida; Fabales; Fabaceae. The record is from RNAcentral.
CACUCUAAUGGUUCUUCUCUUGGGGGAAUCCUGGAAUCUUAGAAAGGAGAGACAGUAAAUUAUUCUGUAUAGCUUCAUUCACAACACUAGGCAACACUGCAUUUAUAGCACUAGGCAAUGCUUCUUUAAUAGCCUCAGUGAUGUCUGUUUGUGAGACUGACUUGACUGUAGAAACACCUGUAUCUUCAGGUAAUGGCACAUCUCUAUGAUCAUGAAUACCAAUAUCCAGACUGCGGCCUAACCCAUGAACUCGUCCUUUCUUGUUGGUUCCUGCAACUUCUGUCCACACGUCAGGAUCAACUUCAGGUUGAUCUAUUAAAUCUUCUCCAUAUUUUUGUGAUAUUGCCUCUCCAUAUGAGUCUUUUUUAACGGUUUUUAGAAUUAAAAAAAAAAGAAAAUAGAUAAUAUAAAUAGUAUACUGCUUGCAGCCCUAACCCCCAAAAAUCCCUAACCUCUACGGCGCUACUCCUCUCACUCUCUCAGCCAGCAGCCCCUCUCUCUCUCAGCCAGCGGCAACAGCAGUCACCGCCUCCCCCGUCACCGAACUCUUCUAGUCAGCCAGAGGGUGCCUCGCCGUCGGCAGUGACAGAUAGAGGGUGCUUCGAGCUCUUGGCCGUCCAUCCUCGUCUCCUCCACGUCGCCGCCUUUGGCCGUCCAUCCUCGUCUUUUCUUCAUCGUCUUCGUCUUCGUCGUGUGGACUUGCAGAUCGAAACGUGGUCGGCUGGCUUCCUCCAUUGUUGGUCAGUUUGCUCGAUCCCGUCUGUCUCGCCGUUCCUCCCUUGCUGCCUGUUUCGUUACUCCCUUGCUGCCUGUUUCGUUCCUCCAUGACGUCAGUUUGGUUCCUCUGUCGAUAGCUUUGCUUUAGUUUUUUUUUUCUUUUGUUAAUUUCUAUGAUUUUGACUUUCUAUUUUUUAAAGAUUCAACUCUGUUUGCUUCAAUUUAUGGUUCUGUAUUUUGUUAAUUUUACUGAGUUACUGAAAUCUAAGAUCUGAUUCUUGAGUUGCUAUUUCUGUUUCUAUUUGUUGUGUUCUGAAUCUGAAUUGGGGUGAGUUGAUAUUUUUUUCUGUUGCUGUUUCUGUUUCUAUUUGUUGUGAUUCUGAAUCUGAAUUGGGGUGAGUUGAUAUUUUUUUUCUGUUUGUUAUGUUCUGACUUCUGAAUUAGAGUUGGUGGUGGUAUGAUUAAUUUUGUCAUGGUGUUUUACAUGAUCUGCAUAUGAGGACAUACAUGUUAAGGUAACAAAAAAAAAAGUCAUGCUACAUGUUUCAUUGUAUGUUUAAUUUUUAAUAAUUUUAUUUAAUAUUUAAUUAAACCGGUUGAACCCCGGUCGAACCUUUGAACCAGUGAACCAGUCACUUUACCGGUUCAUUGACCGGUCCGGUUCUCGCAACCUUGCUAAUCAAUUAUCUAUCAAAGAAAUAAACUACGAUAAUAAGCUAAGCCUAACAAAAUGCAUUAACAUAAGCCACCUAACCAAAUAUUAUUCCCAACAAAAUUACUCUAAUGGUUCUUCUCUUGGGGGAAUCCUGGAAUCUUAGAAAGGAGAGACAGUAAAUUAUUCUGUAUAGCUUCAUUCACAACACUAGGCAACACUGCAUUUAUAGCACUAGGCAAUGCUUCUUUAAUAGCCUCAGUGAUGUCUGUUUGUGAGACUGACUUGACUGUAGAAACACCUGUAUCUUCAGGUAAUGGCACAUCUCUAUGAUCAUGAAUACCAAUAUCCAGACUGCGGCCUAACCCAUGAACUCGUCCUUUCUUGUUGGUUCCUGCAACUUCUGUCCACACGUCAGGAUCAACUUCAGGUUGAUCUAUUAAAUCUUCUCCAUAUUUUUGUGAUAUUGCCUCUCCAUAUGAGUCCUACAGCAAAAAAAUAAGGACAUAUUAUUAAGAAAACUAAAACUAAAUUAUGCUACAAAAUUAAAGACACUUACAAUAAUUUUCUUGGAUACUUCAGAAACAUAUUCUCCACUUUUUUUCUUAUGAACAUCAUCAUAUACUUCA